This 305-nucleotide ribosomal RNA is filed under the name uncultured bacterium. RNAcentral's name for it is "bacterial SSU rRNA". It matches the Rfam family "Bacterial small subunit ribosomal RNA", at positions 337 to 634 of the family's 1533-position model. The record is from RNAcentral.
GCCUACGGGGGGCAGCAGUAGGGAAUCUUCCACAAUGGGCGGAAGCCUGAUGGAGCAACGCCGCGUGGGUGAAGAAGGUCUUCGGAUCGUAAAACCCUAUUGUUAGAGAAGAAAGUGCGUGAGAGUAACUGUUCACGUUUCGACGGUAUCUAACCAGAAAGCCACGGCUAACUACGUGCCAGCAGCCGCGGUAAUACGUAGGUGGCAAGCGUUAUCCGGAUUUAUUGGGCGUAAAGGGAACGCAGGCGGUCUUUUAAGUCUGAUGUGAAAGCCUACGGCUUAACCGGAGUAGUGCAUUGGAAACU